This 68-nucleotide transfer RNA is filed under the name Corallianassa coutierei. RNAcentral's name for it is "tRNA-Asp". The record is from RNAcentral. Lineage: Eukaryota; Metazoa; Arthropoda; Malacostraca; Decapoda; Callianassidae.
AUAAAAUUAGUUAAAUUUAUAACUUGAGUUUGUCAUGCUCAGAUUAUUUCUCUAUGGAAUAUUUUUUU